AAAUUGAAGAGUUUGAUCAUGGCUCAGAUUGAACGCUGGCGGCAGGCCUAACACAUGCAAGUCGAACGGUAACAGGAAGCAGCUUGCUGUUUCGCUGACGAGUGGCGGACGGGUGAGUAAUGUCUGGGAAACUGCCUGAUGGAGGGGGAUAACUACUGGAAACGGUGGCUAAUACCGCAUAACGUCGCAAGACCAAAGAGGGGGACCUUCGGGCCUCUUGCCAUCAGAUGUGCCCAGAUGGGAUUAGCUAGUUGGUGAGGUAACGGCUCACCAAGGCGACGAUCCC
This 286-nucleotide ribosomal RNA is filed under the name Salmonella enterica. RNAcentral's name for it is "partial 16S ribosomal RNA". It matches the Rfam family "Bacterial small subunit ribosomal RNA", at positions 1 to 283 of the family's 1533-position model. The record is from RNAcentral. Lineage: Bacteria; Pseudomonadati; Pseudomonadota; Gammaproteobacteria; Enterobacterales; Enterobacteriaceae.